Molecule: long non-coding RNA, 653 nt
Filed under: Chinchilla lanigera (long-tailed chinchilla)
Lineage: Eukaryota; Metazoa; Chordata; Mammalia; Rodentia; Chinchillidae
Description: lncRNA (ENSCLAG00000027479.1)
Source: RNAcentral
CAGAAAUUAGUUGUCUCUCUUUCUUUGUUCCAGCCCAAGCUUCUCAUUAUAAAGAUGAAAAAUCUCAGACCAAAAGACAGGAUGUGCCUCGCUCAAGAUCGUGAUCACCUAGUGGCUGAGCCAGAACAGAGUCCUGGUUGGUGUCUCCAAGCACAACUUGUCUCCCUCUGUCCCACCCAGGACACUGCUUUCUGUGUCCAGUUCCUUCCUUGUCUAAUGUUACACUCUGAAAGUGUGACUGGCCUGUCUCUCACUCUCAGAUCUUCAAGGAAAGACCUCAGUAGAGGCCAUCCUAGUCCACGUGUUCAAAGGUAUCAUGCAAGCUCCAGCCCAUGCGAAGGGGAAAAGAGGCUUCCUUUCAAGGAUAGAAGCAGAAGUUGAAUACAUUCAUUCUCUUCACAGCCCCCAGUCAUGAUUUAGUCUUGUUAUGUUCACAACUGCAAGGUAAGGUGGGGAAAUAUUGACUUUGGUGGGGGAGAAACAUGCCUACCUGAAACUGGAAGUGCUGUCUCACUAAGGAAAAGCAAAUGGAUGUAGGAGAUUUAGCUGCCUGUCACAGCACCCAAACCACUAGUCACAGGUGAUGGUAAAAAGGAGACUAAGGUCAGGAUGAAAGGGAAAGAGAAGGUAAGAGGGAAGGUGAGUAUGAUCAA